RNAcentral lists this long non-coding RNA (1008 nucleotides) under Capra hircus (goat). Its description in RNAcentral is "lncRNA (ENSCHIG00010016046.1)". Lineage: Eukaryota; Metazoa; Chordata; Mammalia; Artiodactyla; Bovidae. The record is from RNAcentral.
AUGCAGGAAACACCCUCACUGCAGAUUCAGCGUGUCUUCUCUGGAGCUUCGGCUCGACGAGGAAGGAGGCUUUGCUCGCCUGAGGUCCUUGGUGGGUGCUUGUCCUCCUUCAGUUCAUUUGCUCAUGUGACAACUGUUUCCGUGUCUGUCGCGUGUUCUGGGACUAAAGGAAAAGUUGGUUCUGCGCCUUCUGGGUCUGUUAGACGAGCAUGGCAGACUCCGGGAUCACUAAUACACACGUGUCACCACCAGCUCAUCAGAAAGGGCCAUGGGCAGGAUGCGAACACCUUCCUGCAGCUUCAGAAGAUGAGUCGUUUUGAAGAUGCAGUGACGAGACGUUCCCUGGCGGGUGAUGCACGACAGAACCCUUCCUCGUUGACCGGGUCGCUGUGAAUGGUGGGACACCUGCCCCCUGCAGUGCUCACCUGCCACCCUGGGACGUGGGGGUGUGGUGUUUCAUACCUGAGUGAGGUGUGAUCGUAUUUUAAUCCGUUCUCUGUAAGGUGAAGAUAGCUGCAUAUGCAAAUAGUUAAAAGCAAAUGUCUGUGUCCAUGCUAAACAGUGAUUUCUAAGGAAAAUGAUGAAGUUCUAAAUGAACAAAAAUUAGGGAGCGAUAUCUGAUUGGAAUUCUGUGAGAGCUUUGGGAGCUUCUCAUCCCUAAAGGGUAGAGUUUGUGUGUGUGUGUGGUUUCGUCCAUAGGCACUUGGAAGCACAGACCAUAACUGUGUUUGCACGUAUUUGUAGAAAUCCAUGAGAAAGGAUGGUUAACAUCAGGUUGGCCUCAAGAUAAUUUUCCUCUAAAAGUAUUUAUAUAUUGCAAUAGGUAGUUGAUAGAUUAUUGAGGUUUCAAGUUCUUUUAUUAUAAAUCCUGCUCCACCUUUGCAUUAUAGCAUCCAGUCUUCUCUAAGAUUAUAUGUUGUUUAGUCGCUCAGUUGCGUCCAGCUCUUUUGCAACCCUUUGGACUGUAGCCCACCAGGCUCCUCUGUCCAAGGGGUUUCCAGGCAAGAA